RNAcentral lists this ribosomal RNA (253 nucleotides) under uncultured bacterium. Its description in RNAcentral is "partial 16S ribosomal RNA". It matches the Rfam family "Bacterial small subunit ribosomal RNA", at positions 524 to 776 of the family's 1533-position model. The record is from RNAcentral.
UACGGAGGGGGCGAGCGUUAUUCGGAAUUAUUGGGCGUAAAGGGCGCGUAGGCGGCUGGUUAAGUCAAAGGUGAAAUCCCUCGGCUCAACUGAGGAACUGCCUUUGAAACUGUUUGGCUCGAGUCCGGGAGGGGGUAGCGGAAUUCCCAGUGUAGCGGUGAAAUGCGUAGAUAUUGGGAGGAACACCAGUGGCGAAGGCGGCUACCUGGACCGGAACUGACGCUGAUGCGCGAAAGCGUGGGGAGCGAACCGG